CCAACACAAGAUUAGAUGUAUUGCUAUAGAGGAUUUUAGAUGUUGGUUCGUGGAAGCCAUGAUGCAAAAGAAAGGAAAGAGAUGGAAAACCAUAUAAGCACUGAUACCGUAUUGAGUUGAGAAGAAAUGAGGGUAAGUACAUUUGAUGUCUUAUCUAAUUCUCCAAUAAAUGUAUUUUUAUAUAGACAUAACAGAAUAACAAACACCUAACAAAUAAUUAAUCUAACUAAGACUGAAUACUAUCCAAUACAAGCAAACUUUACAUUUACUCAGAUUACAUGGAAAGUUUUACAAAACCUCAUAUUUUCAAACUAUAAUUUCUAGGAAAACUAUAAUGCAUUUACAACAAACCCUCCCAAAAAAUAAUAACAAUAAAUAAAUAAACAACCAACCUUUUGAAAGACAUUAUUUUGUAUAGAGUAAAAAAAGGCCAAGUUGAUUCCAAAUGGAAAGCAUCGUCCUUGGUUAUUUGAAUUUGUUGGGUAUAAGUUGUUAUGAGAUAUCUUCAAUCUUAUCCAAGCCUGAAUGCUCCAGCUGUGUUUGAGCUCUGUUAAUGGAGACUGGAACACCUUCACUUCCAGCUUUAUUUCAUAUGUAUGUAAAUAAAAUAAUCAAAAUAACAAUGGUUGACUUUUGUAAUUACGGAUAAGGGUCGAUCCAACAUCUGUCAUUCUUUGCUGCAUCAGUCCAUCGAUCCUUGAAAAUCUGCAUUUCUAAGGAAGAUUGCAUCCUCACCUACACAUUUUAGGAUAAAUUACAAACCACUAACAACCUACUCAAGAUCGGAAAAAAAGAAAUACUGGGAUUGAUUGUAGUAACUUACUUUGACUCUAUUAUUCACUUGGGGUUCCUGCAAGAAUUGAACACUAAGCUAGGUCUUAUAAUGGAAGAAAAUGGAAUAUAAAUUUCGGUGAGUUUAGAGUUUUCAGAAGACAAACCGAUCUAUCUAAGUUUGAUGAGUCUUUCUUCAACGCAGCAUCGGAAUUCAGCUGCUCGGAUGGGAAGGUCAGUUUAGUGCCAUAAUAUACACUGGAUAACUUAAUGCUAAAUGAAAGCUAGAGAAAAAUCAUAGUAAUAGUAAGUGCAACAAAUGACCGGUUGAAGUCCUAAAAUUCACAGGAUGGUUUGACUGAAGAACUUUACCGCGUUGUCAUGGGAAGCACCAAGCGUUGGCAGUCCUAAAUGUACUAUGUAUUCUGCAUCAACGACACCAACUUUUU
RNAcentral lists this long non-coding RNA (1220 nucleotides) under Cucumis sativus (cucumber). RNAcentral describes it as "long non-coding RNA (CSAT_LNC001861)". Lineage: Eukaryota; Viridiplantae; Streptophyta; Magnoliopsida; Cucurbitales; Cucurbitaceae. The record is from RNAcentral.